AUGACCUUAGUUGAACAGGAUCUGUUCUAUAGAUUCGUACCUCUGUAUUCUUGAGUUCUAAGGAGACAGGAAACUAAGCCUGGUGAAUGUCAGGGUACUAGAGCUUCCAGGCUUGGUUGUCUGACAGGAU
RNAcentral lists this small nucleolar RNA (130 nucleotides) under Ipomoea nil (Japanese morning glory). RNAcentral's name for it is "Plant small nucleolar RNA U3". It matches the Rfam family "Plant small nucleolar RNA U3". Rfam says of the family: Small nucleolar RNAs (snoRNAs) are involved in the processing and modification of rRNA in the nucleolus. There are two main classes of snoRNAs: the box C/D class, and the box H/ACA class. Lineage: Eukaryota; Viridiplantae; Streptophyta; Magnoliopsida; Solanales; Convolvulaceae. The record is from Rfam by way of RNAcentral.